RNAcentral lists this transfer RNA (87 nucleotides) under Candidatus Saccharimonadota bacterium. Its description in RNAcentral is "tRNA-Leu". It matches the Rfam family "tRNA". Rfam says of the family: Transfer RNA (tRNA) molecules are approximately 80 nucleotides in length. Their secondary structure includes four short double-helical elements and three loops (D, anti-codon, and T loops). Further hydrogen bonds mediate the characteristic L-shaped molecular structure. tRNAs have two regions of fundamental functional importance: the anti-codon, which is responsible for specific mRNA codon recognition, and the 3' end, to which the tRNAs corresponding amino acid is attached (by aminoacyl-tRNA synthetases). tRNAs cope with the degeneracy of the genetic code in two manners: having more than one tRNA (with a specific anti-codon) for a particular amino acid; and 'wobble' base-pairing, i.e. permitting non-standard base-pairing at the 3rd anti-codon position. RNAcentral also lists the same sequence under 1 other name. The record is from RNAcentral. Lineage: Bacteria; Candidatus Saccharimonadota.
GGGCGAUUGGCGGAACUGGUAGACGCGAUAGACUCAAAAUCUGUUGGUAGUAAUACCGUGUGGGUUCAAGUCCCACAUUGCCCACCA